Molecule: long non-coding RNA, 577 nt
Organism: Vicia villosa (hairy vetch)
Lineage: Eukaryota; Viridiplantae; Streptophyta; Magnoliopsida; Fabales; Fabaceae
Exons: 2
Source: RefSeq, a predicted model, not a curated record
CUCUUCCCCACAAUUUCCCCUCGGUUCUCUCACUCUCAAUGCCCUCCAUUAAUUUUCUAUCCUUUCUAAUCUCUCUCAUAUUAUCCUCUCUUUUCUCUCUUUCUAUACUCAUAAGACAAACACAAAUAAAAACCCAAAAAAACACAUAAAAUAAGAUCUAACAAGGUGUUACUCAAGAACACCCAUGGUGGUGCUUAAGAACACACGGUGGUGUUCAUGAAGAGCACGGUGGCUCCGAUGAAUACGCGGUGGCCGGCACGGUGGUGCCGCCUCGAUAUUUCCAGAAAUUUGUAAUAAAGCUAAGGUCCGUUGCGAUGAAUCCGAUUCAAGGUUUUCUUGGUGCGUUCGCCGCAACGACUUCCAGCCACUUUUUUCCCGACCAAAUCCUCUUUUCUGAGUUUCCCCUUUGAUUUAUAUAGUUAGGGUUAGUGAUUAGAAUUAGGAAUUAAUUAGAUUCAAUUGUUAUUAGCUUCAGAUUUGGUUUGUAUAAUGGUUCAGCUUUAUUUACGUUCUUGUGAGAUUCAAAUUAUAAAGUUUGAUUUCUGUUUAAUAAAAUUUGAUUCGAUUUUUAUGUUAA